Non-coding RNA from Nicotiana tabacum (common tobacco), 408 nucleotides. The record is from RefSeq and is a predicted model, not a curated record. Lineage: Eukaryota; Viridiplantae; Streptophyta; Magnoliopsida; Solanales; Solanaceae.
AACAAGGUGAGUCAGCUUCACAGACUGUCAGCUCAGAGUGAAUCGUGUAGUGAGUCCUCUGUUGCUCCUGUGAAAUGGGAACAACAUAUCUUACAUCUUCUCCAAUUCGGAUCUAAACCAGCUCAAAUGAUGGGGCUGAGCAACUCUUUGUUUGAAUAUGUUUUAUCUCAUGUGUUUUCUUUGUCAUACACUGGUAAACAUAUUUACUUCUGCCUUAACGUGGAAAGGUCUUCCGUUUCUAUCAAUUAUCAGACUAAAAAGCAGCCAUGGUAAUUGCUUUUGAUGGUUCGUCAAGUUUAGAGUGUUUCUAACUCUUGAUCUUGCAUUUCUUAACAAUUGUUCCGCUUCUGCUGUUGAAAAGUUGUUUCCUCCCUAUAUUGGUAGAAGAAAUAAUUAUAAACUUCUUUA